Non-coding RNA from Pelobates cultripes (western spadefoot toad), 260 nucleotides. Lineage: Eukaryota; Metazoa; Chordata; Amphibia; Anura; Pelobatidae. The record is from the annotation of a GenBank genome assembly.
CUAAAAGAAACGAACAUACUGUUCUCAUUCAGUUAGAACGCAAUUCGGCAGUUUUGUGUAAAGUGACAGGAAGCAUUGUGGGAACACAGAGGAAAGGUAAGGAUCAUGGGAAAAUUGCUCUGACCAACGGAAAUGAAGCACACUUUGCUCCUCCGCUGGUCAGAGCUGGUCAAGCGGAGGAAUCCUCCAUAAGGCAAAGAGUCCCUACUUUGUCUUAUGAUUUUAAAGAAAACUAAAGAAGACAGGAAGAAAAGAAUAAC